GCGCCGGUGGUGUAAGGCGAACAUCGCUGCCCGGAAAGCAGAAGAUGUGGGUUCAAGUCCCGCCUGGCGCA
This is a non-coding RNA of Heligmosomoides polygyrus, 71 nucleotides long. The record is from Rfam. NCBI's taxonomy places the organism in Eukaryota, Metazoa, Nematoda, Chromadorea, Rhabditida, Heligmosomidae.